UUGAACGCUGGCGGCAUGCUUUACCCCUGCAAGUCGCACGGCAGCGCGGGCUUCGGCCUGGCGGCGAGUGGCGAACGGGUGAGUAAUGCAUCGGAACGUGCCCAGUAGUGGGGGAUAGCCCGGCGAAAGCCGGAUUAAUACCGCAUACGACCUGAGGGUGAAAGCGGGGGACCGAAAGGCCUCGCGCUAUUGGAGCGGCCGAUGUCGGAUUAGCUAGUUGGUGGGGUAAAGGCUUACCAAGGCGACGAUCCGUAGCUGGUCUGAGAGGACGACCAGCCACACUGGGACUGAGACACGGCCCAGACUCCUACGGGAGGCAGCAGUGGGGAAUUUUGGACAAUGGGGGCAACCCUGAUCCAGCCAUGCCGCGUGCGGGAAGAAGGCCUUCGGGUUGUAAACCGCUUUUGUUCGGGAAGAAAUCCUCUGGGCUAAUACCCCGGGGGGAUGACGGUACCGGAAGAAUAAGCACCGGCUAACUACGUG
RNAcentral lists this ribosomal RNA (483 nucleotides) under uncultured bacterium. Its description in RNAcentral is "partial 16S ribosomal RNA". It matches the Rfam family "Bacterial small subunit ribosomal RNA", at positions 29 to 507 of the family's 1533-position model. The record is from RNAcentral.